AUGGCAUGCUACCCUUGCAACCCGCUCCCCCACCUUCCACCUGGUACGACGAUCAUCCCCGGUCCUCUCCGUGCUCGCCGUGGAUAUGUGGUUCUUGGAGGUGACCUACCGAUGGUCUGCGAUGAGUGGGCAAUCGCCAUGCUCGUACCCGAGGUAUCAGUUGAGGAGUUUCAUGGUGCCAUUGCUCUGAUCACGAACUACCUGGAGGGACGUGGAUGGCGCAUCAACUACACUUCCCGCUGUGGUAUGGGUACUGCUUUGGUUCAGUUUACUACUGCCUGUUCGCGUGAUACUGCUGUCAGUCUGAGCCCGUUCCAGAUUGGGGACUCUGUUCUUAGGAUUAGCAAGUAGGAUAGAGGUCUUAAUUACCGCAGCAUUACUUUCACACAUGAUGUAUGGAUCCUACUUAUGAAUUAUCCAUUAGAAUGCUGGGAUGUUGGGGUGAUUAGUCGCAUUGUGUCACCAUAUGGUCGCUUUUUGAUCUGGAGCAACGAUCCAAGGGACAAAGCAAGGGUUAUUGUUAAACUCAGGGUCAUGAAUGUUGACAAUAUUCCUAUCAGUCUAGUUGUUCUGAGGAACCUUGAUGAUGUUGGAUAUGGUGACUCAUGGACUUGCCCAACAUAUAUACUGUCGAGGGAUCUGAUUGGUCAGCAAGGGGGUGAUGAGGACCCAUUGCCACCUGAUGGUGGAAACCCUCAUCCCCUCCCUCAUGUUCAUGGAGGUUUCUGGCAUGAUGAGGUAUUAGGGAAUAUACCUAUGGAUCAAGUUGUUAUUAAUCCUCAUAAUGAGGACCUUGGUGCACCAUAUGAGGAUGUUCAUGUGGUCCAUAAUGACAAUGUGAACCACGAUGAUGCCCACAUGGCUGCUGCUUCUGAACAUAUUAAUGCUGAUCUGGUUGAGGCACCUGUUUUGGAGGAAGUAAGAUCUUCUAUUCAGAUACACUCCAAUACAAUCUAUGCUGACUCUUGGGCCUGA
This 975-nucleotide ribosomal RNA is filed under the name Triticum aestivum (bread wheat). RNAcentral describes it as "partial small subunit ribosomal RNA". Lineage: Eukaryota; Viridiplantae; Streptophyta; Magnoliopsida; Poales; Poaceae. The record is from RNAcentral.